AAGAGUAUAGCUUAAUGGUAAAGCCUUUGUCUUCAAAAUAAAUAAUAAUAGUUCAAUUCUAUUUACUCUUG
This 71-nucleotide transfer RNA is filed under the name Intestinozyma alai. Its description in RNAcentral is "Candida alai tRNA-Trp". It matches the Rfam family "tRNA". From Rfam's summary of the family: Transfer RNA (tRNA) molecules are approximately 80 nucleotides in length. Their secondary structure includes four short double-helical elements and three loops (D, anti-codon, and T loops). Further hydrogen bonds mediate the characteristic L-shaped molecular structure. tRNAs have two regions of fundamental functional importance: the anti-codon, which is responsible for specific mRNA codon recognition, and the 3' end, to which the tRNAs corresponding amino acid is attached (by aminoacyl-tRNA synthetases). tRNAs cope with the degeneracy of the genetic code in two manners: having more than one tRNA (with a specific anti-codon) for a particular amino acid; and 'wobble' base-pairing, i.e. permitting non-standard base-pairing at the 3rd anti-codon position. The record is from RNAcentral. Lineage: Eukaryota; Fungi; Ascomycota; Pichiomycetes; Serinales; Debaryomycetaceae.